AGUGAACGCUGGCGGUAGGCCUAACACAUGCAAGUCGAACGGCAGCACAGUAAGAGCUUGCUCUUACGGGUGGCGAGUGGCGGACGGGUGAGGAAUACAUCGGAAUCUACUUUUUCGUGGGGGAUAACGUAGGGAAACGUACGCUAAUACCGCAUACGACCUACGGGUGAAAGCAGGGGAUCUUCGGACCUUGCGCGAUUGAAUGAGCCGAUGUCGGAUUAGCUAGUUGGCGGGGUAAAGGCCCACCAAGGCGACGAUCCGUAGCUGGUCUGAGAGGAUGAUCAGCCACACUGGAACUGAGACACGGUCCAGACUCCUACGGGAGGCAGCAGUGGGGAAUAUUCGACAAUGGGCGCAAGCCUGACCCAGCCAUACCGCGUGGGUGAAGAAGGCCUUCGGGUUGUAAAGCCCUUUUGUUGGGAAAGAAAAGCAGCAGGUUAAUACCCCGCUGUUCUGACGGUACCCAAAGAAUAAGCACCGGCUAACUUCGUG
Molecule: ribosomal RNA, 492 nt
Filed under: uncultured bacterium
Lineage: Bacteria
Description: partial 16S ribosomal RNA
Rfam family: Bacterial small subunit ribosomal RNA
Source: RNAcentral